GCAAACUUGGUCAUUUAGAGGAAGUAAAAGUCGUAACAAGGUUUCCGUAGGUGAACCUGCGGAAGGAUCAUUACAAAUGACCUGGCAGCUGAUAAUCUCUGCAGCCUCAUGGUCAAAAUACUGUACCGUAGUCGUGUUUCGGCAUGUCUUCGUGUCCACCCAUUGUGAACCUUUUUACUUUGCUUUGGCAGCACUCUAUGUUUAAAACAUAUGGAGAUAAGGCUGUCGAUAGCUCAUAUAAAACUAGUUAUUAUUAUCAUGCUGUCUGAAAUCUUUUGAGAAAUCAAAUAUAAGUUAAAACUUUCAGCAACGGAUCUCUUGGUUCUCGCAUCGAUGAAGAACGCAGC
RNAcentral lists this unclassified non-coding RNA (347 nucleotides) under uncultured fungus. RNAcentral's name for it is "partial contains small subunit ribosomal RNA, internal transcribed spacer 1, and 5.8S ribosomal RNA". The stretch from base 1 to 73 matches the Rfam family "Eukaryotic small subunit ribosomal RNA", at positions 1759 to 1831 of the family's 1831-position model. Lineage: Eukaryota; Fungi. The record is from RNAcentral.